AGCGAACGCUGGCGGUAGGCCUAACACAUGCAAGUCGAACGGCAGCACAGUAAGAGCUUGCUCUUACGGGUGGCGAGUGGCGUACGUGUGAGGUAUACAUCCUAAUCUACUUUUUCGUGUGGGAUAACGUAGGGAAACUUACGCUAAUACCGCAUACGACCUACGGUUGAAAGCAUGGGAUCUUCGGACCUUGCGCGAAUGAAUGAGCCGAUGACGGGUUGGCUAGUUGGCGGGGUAAAUGCCCACCAAGUCGACGAUCCGUAGCUGGUCUGAGAGGCUGAUCGGCCACACUGGAACUGAAACACGGUCCUGACUACUACGAGAGGCAGCAGUGGGGAAUAUUGGACAAUAGGCGGAAGCAUGGUACAGCGAUCCCGCGUGUGUGGAGGAGGCCUUCGGGUUGUGAAGCCCUUUUGUUGGGAGAGAAACGCAGCCGGUUGAUACCCCGCUGUUCUGACGGUACCCAAAGAAUAAGCACCGGCUAACUACGUG
RNAcentral lists this ribosomal RNA (492 nucleotides) under uncultured bacterium. Its description in RNAcentral is "partial 16S ribosomal RNA". It matches the Rfam family "Bacterial small subunit ribosomal RNA", at positions 29 to 507 of the family's 1533-position model. The record is from RNAcentral.